RNAcentral lists this ribosomal RNA (395 nucleotides) under uncultured bacterium. RNAcentral's name for it is "bacterial SSU rRNA". It matches the Rfam family "Bacterial small subunit ribosomal RNA", at positions 29 to 416 of the family's 1533-position model. The record is from RNAcentral.
AUUGAACGCUGGCGGCAUGCCUUACACAUGCAAGUCGAGCGGCAGCGCGGGGGCAACCCUGGCGGCGAGCGGCGGACGGGUGAGUAAUACAUCGGAACGUGUCCUGUCGUGGGGGAUAACCAGUCGAAAGACUGGCUAAUACCGCAUGAGAUCUCACGAUGAAAGCGGGGGACCCCAGGGUAACUUCGGGGCCUCGCGCGAUUGGAGCGGCCGAUGUCGGAUUAGCAGUUGGCGGGGUAAAAGCCCACCAAGGCGACGAUCCGUAGCUGGUUUGAGAGAACGACCAGCCACACUGGGACUGAGACACGGCCCAGACUCCUACGGGAGGCAGCAGUGGGGAAUUUGGACAAUGGGGGCAACCCUGAUCCAGCCAUGCCGCGUGUGUGAAGAAGGCC